RNAcentral lists this long non-coding RNA (1159 nucleotides) under Hordeum vulgare. RNAcentral describes it as "long non-coding RNA (HVUL_LNC009539)". The record is from RNAcentral. Lineage: Eukaryota; Viridiplantae; Streptophyta; Magnoliopsida; Poales; Poaceae.
CCUCAGUACGUAUUAUAUAUUGGGUCUUUUUCCCUACCACUCUAAUACAAUUAUUUGAUUGUUUGCAGGUCCCCUUGCCUCAGUACGUAUUAUAUAUUGGGUCCUUUGCCCUUGUCUCAACGAUUCAAGAAAUAAUUCUACAUGAAGGAUCAAGAAACGAUGAUUUGUCAUUCAUUGGUAUCUUCGUAUUUAUUAUUAUCAAAUUUAGUUCUGUGGGAUCACAAAGUCUUCAUAUUUACCAUGUUUUUGUUCUUUCCUUUGGUCUGAUAUAAUGCAGGGGAAAAUAUGAAUAAAGACUAAAAGGUUGUUAUGCUAAGACGAUUCUGGCUGAUAGUUCAAGAAAGACUAAAAGGUUGUUAUGCUAAGACGAUUUUGUGUUACUAAGGUGUUAAAUUAAUCGUAGUUUGUGUUUUGUGUGGAGACAUGUUUCGAUCUACGUAUAUAGUAUAUCCAUUUGUUUUACCAUAUUUUUUUGACUAAUGAAUGUUUUAUCCAUGCAUUUAAUACAAAUUGUAACGAACUGUGAUAUCUAUGGCACUUUACUUUUUGUCUGUCACUUGAUACCAGUGUUUCAUGAUUCAAUAUUUGUGCUUCAUGAAUUGUUUUGUCAUUUGAACAUGUAAUUGAAAAAAUGUUAGGUUAUCAUUAUUGCUAUUGUUGAUGUUAUUUUUACCAUGUGUUCCUCCACGAACGCGCGGGGUGUCAUCUAGUUUUCAUAAAGGAAAUGUGCCAUUCUUUUUUAUCAGCGAAUGGAGAACUAAAAGCCUUAUUUAUUUUUAUUACAAGAAUCAACCUCAGCAGGCUGUUGUGUAGAGUCUUUGUCAGUGGAAGAUGCAGGAACAAAUGGGAAUUGGUUGUAGAUUUCUUCUAUCCUGCUUCAUCCUGCAAAAAAAUAGAACAACAAAUAAGAUAAUUGUUAGAUUAGAGAAUGUUUUUUUCAUGGUAGGAUGUUCUUCAAGCUGCUUAUUGGUACUCCCUCCGGUGUGUUAGGCCUUUUAUGAAACGCAGCACGACCAAGGUGGUUUUUCAUUGGCUAAGUGAUCUGCCCAUUUCCUUCAAUCAGCAUUUAGUUGGUAUUAAUUAUGGCAAGUGAAGAGACGUCCAGGCCCACAGCAUGCAUGCAUGCGCUUAGAUAUGACGCUAAUUCCUCCUCCCUCCU